CGGAAGGAUCAUUAAUGAGAGGGGGGCUCCGCGCUCUAGGGGUUCACGCCCCGCACCUUUCCACCCUUUGUGUACCAUCCACUGUUGCUUUGGCGGUCCCCGGGGUUCUCCCCCGGCGUUGGCCCCUAUCCAUGGGGCUCGCGAGCGCCCGCCAGAAGCCCAUCGAAAACCUGUUUCGUCGGAGAAGUCAGAGUUUCUACGAAUGAAUUAAAACUUUCAACAACGGAUCUCUUGGUUCUGGCAUCGAUGAAGAACGCAGCGAAAUGCGAUAAGUAAUGUGAAUUGCAGAAUUCAGUGAAUCAUCGAAUCUUUGAACGCACAUUGCGCCCCCCGGCAUUCCGGGGGGCAUACCUGUUCGAGCGUCAUUAAACCCCUCAAGCUCUGCUUGGUAUUGGGCGUUCGCACCCCGCAGCAUGGGCGGGCGCGCCCGAAAACGAGUGGCGGUCCCGGGAGACUUCAAGCGCAGUAACUGAACCCGUUUUGGAAGCUUUCUGCCCGGUGGCUCGGCCAACGAAUGACUUUCAAGAAUU
RNAcentral lists this ribosomal RNA (530 nucleotides) under Loekoesia austrocoreana. RNAcentral's name for it is "5.8S ribosomal RNA". The stretch from base 212 to 365 matches the Rfam family "5.8S ribosomal RNA". The record is from RNAcentral. Lineage: Eukaryota; Fungi; Ascomycota; Lecanoromycetes; Teloschistales; Teloschistaceae.